Molecule: long non-coding RNA, 1054 nt
Filed under: Corvus moneduloides (New Caledonian crow)
Lineage: Eukaryota; Metazoa; Chordata; Aves; Passeriformes; Corvidae
Description: lncRNA (ENSCMUG00000020068.1)
Source: RNAcentral
CGAAAUGAAUUAAUAUAUAAAUUAGUAUUACUUGCCAGUAUAUAUAAAAUAAAGACAGAGUGGUAAUUACACAGGAAGGACAGAGGGACACAAAGAGGGAAACAAGGACAGAGAGAGGAAAUGACCACGGCAGGUGGGUGUGGGGGGAAGAUGGGCAAGGCACAGCAGAGGGAUGGAGAAAGAGAGGGACGGGCAGCAGGGCAGAGGGUUAUAAAGAGAAGAGUGCAGUGAGGGAGAGGGACUGAGCAGCAGAUCCAGACAGGUACAGGCAAAAGGACAGUGAGAGGGACAUACAGUCACGGUGCAGGGCAAAGGAAUAAGGAGAGGAAGAAAAUGCGGGCAGGGAGGGAGACAGACAAAAAGGAGAGACAAUAGGGAGAGAGAUUGAGCAAUAUUUAUUAAAUAAAUAUUGAGUAUUUACUUAAAGAAAAACAAGAACGAGAGAGUGAAGUAGUGAAAGGGAAUGGGAUGGGGAACACACAGGACAAGAAAGGAACACAAAAGACACACCAGAGAGACAGAAGAAAAGUGGUGGAAAGUUGGAUGUAAGGCUGAAAGAAAAUCAAGAACAAACCCCAGGACUUAUUAGAGAGUAUGGCUGAUGAACAUGUAAUGUAAAUAAACCACCAGCUCAAACAGAACCAUUUACUGCCAUGGUUCGGCCUGGGACUCAACAUCUGCCUCUUGGUAGGGCCAUAAACCCCGAUAAAACAUGAGGUGAAAGCUGAUGGAUGAUGUGCACCAGGUUGGGUCCUGCUCAGCCCUAAUCCCAGCCUGUGCCACCUGUGAACACCCUGAUCUCCCAACCUUCUCUCAGGGAAAUUUCACCUUUAUCCUUUCUCUUCCCCUCCCAGUAUCUCACUGUGCUCUGAAUGAACGUGAUGAGAGGCUUCUCUGUUGCAGGUUCUUUGGAAAUCCUAUGGUGACUUUGAGACUGAGCAAGAGGGGCAUGAGAAAAGCAGGAACAUUUCCUGAUGGUUCCUGCAGCACACACAGCACGUCAAGCCAAGAAAACACCAUGGACAGGCAACAAUUCCAUUUGAACAGUCUCUGA